AGAGCGAACGCUGGCGGCAGGCUUAACACAUGCAAGUCGAGCGCUCGUAGCAAUACGAGAGCGGCAGACGGGAGAGUAACACGUGGGAACGUACCCUUCGGUUCGGAAUAACUCAGGGAAACUUGAGCUAAUACCGAAUACGUCCGUAAGGAGAAAGAUUUAUCGCCGAGGGAUCGGCCCGCGUCCGAUUAGCUAGUUGGUAGGGUAAUGGCUUACCAAGGCUACGAUCGGUAGCUGGUCUGAGAGGAUGAUCAGCCUCACUGGGACUGAGACACGGCCCAGACUCCUACGGGAGGCAGCAGUGGGGAAUAUUGGACAAUGGGCGCAAGCCUGAUCCAGCCAUGCCGCGUGAGUGAUGAAGGCCUUAGGGUUGUAAAGCUCUUUCAGCGGGGAAGAUAAUGACGGUACCCGCAGAAGAAGCCCGGCUAACUUCGCGCCAGCACGCCGC
This 448-nucleotide ribosomal RNA is filed under the name uncultured bacterium. Its description in RNAcentral is "SSU rRNA". It matches the Rfam family "Bacterial small subunit ribosomal RNA", at positions 26 to 518 of the family's 1533-position model. The record is from RNAcentral.